This 3117-nucleotide ribosomal RNA is filed under the name Triticum aestivum (bread wheat). RNAcentral describes it as "partial small subunit ribosomal RNA". Lineage: Eukaryota; Viridiplantae; Streptophyta; Magnoliopsida; Poales; Poaceae. The record is from RNAcentral.
CUCCAAGAUCUUGUACAGGUCGGUCGAUCGGUCGGUCGGUCGUUAGUGGGCAGUUCAGCAGCAGGUCCAGCAGCGAAGGCGGCCAUGUGUGUGUGUGUGUGUCACGGCUGAACCCGGAGCGAGGCUAGGGGCGCCACUAAAAGAGCCUGAUCUCAUAAGGAAGGAGGGUGCUGAUAAGAGGGCCGCUGCAGUGGCGCCACUGCAGGCCAUUCGGCCAGUGGCGGGGGCUGCCCGGCACUGGGGUAGUGUGGGGAGUGGAGUGCGCGUGGUGGGUUCGUUUAGGGCGUGCAAGGACGCACACACCAUAGAGCGUCUUCGUCGGUUCUCUUCACUCCUCCCCUGAUUUUUAUUAGUGCCGCGCGCGGCGCCUAUUAGGAAAAGGCCCGUCGGUCGGCGCUUUAAAGGGCUAUUCUCGUCGGCGCCCGCCGCGAAGGCGCAAACCAAGCGGUGUGAACGAACGUCUAAUCGGCGACGCCGAAGGGGAAGAGCUGGUUGAGGUUUUAGGCGCCGCACGCAUGGCCGGCAAGGCAAGGUCGAAGAACACGGACAACACCGUUCUUCUUUAGGCGCGACAAACCCCGGAGCAAACUCGUCCUCAUAGGAGCGAAAAAGGACAACCCUCAAGGACGAACGACGAGACGGGAAAGCAGCCCAAAGAACCUUCUCUAAGUACGAAGGAAGCACUGUAGAACAGUAGAAAAAACGAACUAAACGUACCAAAAGAACCCAAGAACGGCCUCCUAAACGGGGAAAAUCUCGAGCCUAAGGAGGCGUUCUAGGUGGUGAAGGCGUUAGUAAACUCGAGCACGCCAAGUUAGCACCCUCGUACCCUGUUUUCGAAGAAGGCAGGAACCCCUGUUUCCGAACACGAGCCUAAACUGUGGUACGGUUCGUAGUAGUUCAUCUGCGCUCGCUCGAAGAUCUUGGAAGACGAUCGAAGGAGGACGGGUGAGGGGCAGGUGCGCUGUAUGUAUGUACCUCUGCAGCUGGCAGUGGAUGAGGAGGAGGAGCGGCGGGGGAAGGAGGAGCGGCGGCGUCGUCCGGCUCGUCCGGCGGCUGGAGCUGCGGCAGUCGGAGCCGGCGGAGUCGCGGUUGGAGCUCGCGGAGGAGCUGGGCCGGAAGGAGUCGACGCGCCUGCGGCUGCACCAGGAGCGCCUGCUGCGGCCGCAGCAGCCGCAGGUGGCGACGUAGGAGCGGCGAUCCUCGCCGAAGAAGGAGCUGGUGAAGAGGUUAUCCGAGCGGUUGGGGCGGCGGCCGCUCUUCCUCUUCCUCUUCCUCUCCGGCGCCGACCUCGAGCGCCUCGACCAGGGCCCGCCCGCGGUGUAGCCGGCGCUGCGGGAGCAGCGGCAGGAACCCAUGGAGAUGUGGCCGGCGGAGUUCGGCGGCGGCGCCCUGAGGCGCCACACGCACCUGCUCGCCACGGGCGUGCUCCGGACGGCGGGCCGCUACCUGAAGCACCACCUCAGGUGGAUGCGGCGGAGGCCGAAGGUCUAGAGGCUCGAGCAGAGCGAGAAGGUCGCAGCAGACAGGCUGAAACAUUUGUAUCGAGACCACCUCCUGUAUCACGGGUAGCAAGUGCAACGCAGGUGGACGGUCGAGGUACUCGACGAGUCGGUCACGUAAGUUUCCUAACGUCCUAGCUUACAGCUGUCGGCCAUGGAGCUCUUCCUCGAAGGUCUGCUCCGUAAACGGUUCCAGUUCCUCAAGGCCGCUAUGAGCGACGUGCUGCUAAGCCUGCUCAAGUAGGACCUGGGACUCGUGCGGUUCUUCCAGUCCUUGUAGGUGUUCCGGGACCUGACACUGCUGCAGCUGGACCAGCCGGACGAGGACGUUCUCAGACGCUAGUGGAACCUGCUACGUAACCGGUAUGUGAUACGGCGGCGGAUAACGCUCGGGUUUCACGAUCGAAACGAGAACUUCGACCUGGGACGGCCACUGACGCAUUUGCAGUUGGACUUCUUACUGUCACCCAUGUGUGGUAACGUAAACCGAACGUACUCCGCCCUCGGCGUCUAGGAAGAGAGCGAAUAGCUCUUCCCGCGCAGGCACCACCUCUCCUGCGUGCUACCCGCGCUGCGCGAAUGGUAGACGUUCUCUGACUGUUGUCUCUUUCUGACGUUGUUCUUCGAACUCUUUACGUUCCUCUCUUCGUUCCGAAUGAACACGUAACUGUAGGAACUCGUCCUCUAGUUCUCCUUUAGGAAGUAGAAGCUCCUCGAGGAAAGCCGUCUCCAAAGCCAGCGGUGUGGAAACGACCAACUGUUAAAGGUGUACUCCGAGUAUUUGAACCUUUUGUCUCAACGGAAACGUUCUUAUAAGAAGGGAAGACUUCGGUUCGAACAGUACGCAUAUCGUGUUCGUCUAAGUUGGCUUCUCAAACGGCCAGAGUGCAGUCGAUUAAAGUCAUUUGACUUCCUCCAACUGGAUUUACUCUGGGGAUGUUACGUCUUGUCCUCUGACGCCCUUGCGGAACUACGGAACUGUUUCUGUCAACUCGAUCCCGCUUUCAUGAAGGGCGUAACAAGCCUACAAGAGCUGUUCAAGGAGUACCUUCUUAGGUGGCUAGACGUGAAGGAACUUUCGCCGUCACGACUCCUGGUCAUGUGGUCCUCCUGCGCGAAGAGACUCGAGUUUCUCCUACACUCCUUCCGGAAGUCGUUUCUGUUCCGGCAACGUCGGUAUCGGAGUAGCUGCAGGAGCAGAAGCGGCUCCCCACUACCUUUCCAAUCAUCUGUACCAGUGUUCUUCCGCUCCGACAGCGCCACUAUACAUACGAGCUACAGCGGUUCAGCCAUCCAAUUGCUGCCUAGGCAGCUCGCGUCCGCGCACUACCGAAGCCUCUCCACCCCACCCCCCUUCGAUCGUUCCAAAACAACUGUCAAACAUCACGUCACUUUGGUACAUACAUCUACAUACAUUGGUUCGUUCGUAUAGCCAAGAUCAAACAAACAACGAACCACGUAAAGAACAUCAAAUGACACCAAACUGUACACUGUCCGAAGUCAUCUACUAAAAAUUAGCGGCCACUGGCGAGAAGUGUCAGUAACAUAGGUAGAACGUACGAGUCCGGAGAACCAUCCUAGUUUGACUAAAACUUCCAAGCAAACUUCCAAGUCC